UACGGAGGAUCCGAGCGUUAUCCGGAUUUAUUGGGUUUAAAGGGAGCGUAGGCGGAUGCUUAAGUCAGUUGUGAAAGUUUGCGGCUCAACCGUAAAAUUGCAGUUGAUACUGGGCGUCUUGAGUACAGUAGAGGCAGGCGGAAUUCGUGGUGUAGCGGUGAAAUGCUUAGAUAUCACGAAGAACUCCGAUUGCGAAGGCAGCCUGCUGGACUGUCACUGACGCUGAUGCUCGAAAGUGUGGGUAUCAAACAGG
RNAcentral lists this ribosomal RNA (253 nucleotides) under Bacteroides fluxus YIT 12057. RNAcentral's name for it is "partial 16S ribosomal RNA". It matches the Rfam family "Bacterial small subunit ribosomal RNA", at positions 524 to 776 of the family's 1533-position model. Lineage: Bacteria; Pseudomonadati; Bacteroidota; Bacteroidia; Bacteroidales; Bacteroidaceae. The record is from RNAcentral.